CAUGGGCAGGUUGAAGGUUGGGUAACACUAACUGGAGGACCGAACCGACUAAUGUUGAAAAAUUAGCGGAUGACCUGUGGCUGGGGGUGAAAGGCCAAUCAAACCGGGAGAUAGCUGGUUCUCCCCGAAAGCUAUUUAGGUAGCGCCUCGUGAAUUCAUCUCCGGGGGUAGAGCACUGUUUCGGCUAGGGGGCCAUCCCGGCUUACCAACCCGAUGCAAACUGCGAAUACCGGAGAAUGUUAUCACGGGAGACACACGGCGGGUGCUAACGUCCGUCGUGAAGAGGGAAACAACCCAGACCGCCAGCUAAGGUCCCAAAGUCAUGGUUAAGUGGGAAACGAUGUGGGAAGGCCCAGACAGCCAGGAUGUUGGCUUAGAAGCAGCCAUCAUUUAAAGAAAGCGUAAUAGCUCACUGGUCGAGUCGGCCUGCGCGGAAGAUGUAACGGGGCUAAACCAUGCACCGAAGCUGCGGCAGCGACACUGUGUGUUGUUGGGUAGGGGAGCGUUCUGUAAGCCUGUGAAGGUGUGUCGUGAGGCAUGCUGGAGGUAUCAGAAGUGCGAAUGCUGACAUAAGUAACGAUAAAGCGGGUGAAAAGCCCGCUCGCCGGAAGACCAAGGGUUCCUGUCCAACGUUAAUCGGGGCAGGGUGAGUCGACCCCUAAGGCGAGGCCGAAAGGCGUAGUCGAUGGGAAACGGGUUAAUAUUCCCGUACUUGGUGUUACUGCGAAGGGGGGACGGAGAAGGCUAUGUUGGCCGGG
This 758-nucleotide ribosomal RNA is filed under the name Salmonella enterica. Its description in RNAcentral is "partial 23S ribosomal RNA". It matches the Rfam family "Bacterial large subunit ribosomal RNA", at positions 735 to 1495 of the family's 2925-position model. The record is from RNAcentral. RNAcentral also lists the same sequence under 1 other name. Lineage: Bacteria; Pseudomonadati; Pseudomonadota; Gammaproteobacteria; Enterobacterales; Enterobacteriaceae.